This is an RNA transcript of Arachis stenosperma, 2122 nucleotides long. RefSeq lists it as uncharacterized. The record is from RefSeq and is a predicted model, not a curated record. The transcript is spliced from 5 exons. Lineage: Eukaryota; Viridiplantae; Streptophyta; Magnoliopsida; Fabales; Fabaceae.
AAAAUAUAUAUUUUUAGUGUCUCUCUGAAACACAAUUUAUGAGACAUAAUUUUUUUCACUACCUCAACAUUAUCUCCAGUUAAUUUAAAAAAUUCUAACCUUAUCCCUACCUCAACCUUAUCCUAACCCCUUUCUCUACUCCUUUUUUCUUCUCCGUCAGUCUUCUACCUCUUUCCAGAUUCUUUUCCUCUUCCAUAGAUCUCAUCAUCGCCGUCAUGCCUCCUUCCUCCGAUGGUUUUCUCUCUCUCCAUUACCGUACUCUUCUUUGUUGCGUUCUUAAAUUUGUGUCUCUUCCGCGCUCUUUUGUCAUCGCCUUUCUCAAAUCUGUGCCACCUCUGCAUCGUUGCCGCCAUUCAUCCAGAUCUUUCUCCCUCGCGACACAGAGCCACUGCACCGUCCAACCCAGAGCGAGUCAUAGCACCAUCUAAUACACAGCAAAUACGGUUUCGGAUAUCAUAAUAGUUUCUAGACAGCUUUCUGAUGAUGAAUCAUCAUCGAUGAUCUAUUGUGUCACGAAGUUGCCACGUUGGAGAGCCAAAACAUUGACGUUUUAGGUUGGAAUUCUUGCACUCAGAAGACAUCAAAAUCAGGUUUCACUUCAUCGUUCGUCUCCUCUUGCGUUAGAAACAAGAGGUUCUGCCAUUUGUAAAGAGAUGUUGGAUAUUAUGUUUCAUCACGGGGUGAUUUCAAAGAAGAUGAAGAAGGAACAAUGGUAUAUUAUCCGGAUAAUAAGGCUUGUUUAGGUGACCUAGAUGUGGAUACGUUAGAUGUCUUCUAUCUGAGGAACUACCGUAAAAAGCUUGGUUAUGAUGAGAUAAAGCAAUGUUGGUGGCAAGUUCCUGAAAAAGGUUUGGAGAACAGACUAAGAAGCUUGAAUAAUGACAAGGAGAUAAGAGAGAUGGUGAAGUAUGCUAAGAUCAAUAACGGAGUUAUUGAUGUAUAUUUCGAGCAUGAAACAUCAUUGCCAAAGAUUUUGGAGGAAAAUACAAAACAGAAAAAGAAUUCUCCAAGAUUAACACAACUAUUACCCUCAAACACCAAAGUUGCCUCAAACACCAAAAGUAUACAACCACCAUGGUUGUUGUGGGUGUUGUUUGUAUGCAGGUAUUCCUUGUGUGCAUGCAUGUGCUGCACUGUCUCGGAUUAACAAGCCACCAGAAGACUUUUGUCAUCGUUUGCUAACAAUAGAAUCAUACAGGGAAACAUAUAAUAAUCAUAUUAAUCCAAUUCCUGGACAACCAUUAUGGGAGCAUACAGAAGAAUGUAACAAGCCACAAACACCAAAGAUAAAGAAGAAACUUGGAAAACUACAGAUGAAAAGAAGAAUGGAUGCUGAUGAGAAGGGUGGUGGAGGAUCUAAAAAGUCUAAAGCUAAUCCCAAGUCUCAGAGUAACAAUGGAGAUAAUAUUCAUCUAAAGAGGCAGUUGGACCCCUUUACUUGCAGUUUCUGUGGUGAUAAAGGACAUACAAAGAGAGGUUGCAAGAAGAAGAAAGCUUGUGAUGCUGCUGAGGCUGAUAAGAAGAAGAAAAAUGAAGGAGGUGUGCCUGCAUCUGAGCAGCAACUUCAGCAGCCUCAAGAUGAUGGUGACCAACGUAAUAGAGAAGACAAUCCUCUUGUGCAGUCUACUGAGAUUGCACCAGCCACUUCUGAUGCACAACCUGUAGAGAUAGAUAUAUCUUAGCCAAUUGCUUCUGAUGUAGAAGAUUUUCAAAAAGAUCAUGGAAUAAAAAGGCCUUCAAAAUUAUCACCAAGGAGAAGAUCCUCUCUACUAGCAACUUCUGUCCAGUGAAUCCCAUGCAGGGUGCUAGUUCAGGAACUGCAACAAGACUUGUCAAUUACAUGAAGUUCAUCCCAACUCUCGGAUUUAAGGCUCCAAGAAAGAAGAAUUGAAGAAUUUAGCUUAAUAUGUAUAGGAAUGUAUGUUUUGAAUUUAAUAAUUUUUGCUAGACAAAGACUACACAAGGAAAAAAUAAUCCUUUAUGUUUUGCUGUAAAGUCCUCCCUUUUGAGGCAACUUUGUUUAACAUGCUCAUGUUAGUUGGCUGCCCUUUGUGUUAUGUGACUAACUGUGUUAAGUUGAACUAUUAUCUUAAUACACUUAUCUUUUAAGUUUGAACCAUUA